Phascolarctos cinereus (koala) is the source of this 329-nucleotide non-coding RNA. The record is from RefSeq and is a predicted model, not a curated record. NCBI's taxonomy places the organism in Eukaryota, Metazoa, Chordata, Mammalia, Diprotodontia, Phascolarctidae.
GCAUGGCCCUAGCUGCCGCCCCCUACCUGGGGCCCCACAGUAGGGGGACGGCAAGAGACUCCUUCCUUCUCCUUCAGAUGAAGUCUAUUGUACAAUUUCAGAAAGGAGGGAGACUCAUUUCAGGAUUGGCAGAAUCCUCUCCAGAUUAGCUCCCUCAGGGUCUGGACUCAGAAGUUUGUCACUUACAAGAAAGGAGAUAGGACUGGUGGAGGGGGUAGUAGAAUCGAGUGCUGCCAAUGAUACCAAAAAAGGAAAGGAAAAAGCACCAAUGACACAUUUUUAAAAUGCACAGAAGAAAACAGAAGGGAGUUCAGAGGGAGAAUGAGAUA